This 253-nucleotide ribosomal RNA is filed under the name uncultured bacterium. Its description in RNAcentral is "partial 16S ribosomal RNA". It matches the Rfam family "Bacterial small subunit ribosomal RNA", at positions 524 to 776 of the family's 1533-position model. The record is from RNAcentral.
UACGAAGGGUGCAAGCGUUACUCGGAAUUACUGAGCGUAAAGCGUGCGUAGGUGGUUCGUUAAGUCUGAUGUGAAAGCCCUGGGCUCAACCUGGGAAUGGCAUUGGAUACUGGCGAUCUAGAGUGCGGUAGAGGGCAGUGGAAUUCCCGGUGUAGCAGUGAAAUGCGUAGAGAUCGGGAGGAACAUCUGUGGCGAAGGCGACUGCCUGGACCAGCACUGACACUGAGGCACGAAAGCGUGGGGAGCAAACAGG